Paramacrobiotus metropolitanus is the source of this 1490-nucleotide RNA transcript. RefSeq lists it as uncharacterized. NCBI's taxonomy places the organism in Eukaryota, Metazoa, Tardigrada, Eutardigrada, Parachela, Macrobiotidae. The record is from RefSeq and is a predicted model, not a curated record. The transcript has 4 exons.
UAUAUGUAAGUAAGUUGUAAGUACAGAAAAUAUUAAUUUUUUAUGAUUCUUGUUUUUGCGUAAGCGCACGUUUGAAGUUUGCAAUAAUACCAACUUCCAGUUUUAAUUGUACUAGCUUACAGACUGUUAAUAAAUUGUUUCUCGCAGCCGCAAUAAGUAUUAUUAAGUGCACCACUGUAUAUUAUUUAUAUAAAUUAACUGUAGUACUACUACUAUCCUUUUUUACCGUUCUGCGUACCCCACGAGCCAACAGGCCGUCAAUCGAGAUAAGUACUCGGAUUCGCCGCGCGCAGCAUCAUGAGUAUGUGGCCUAAAGUCGAAAGCAACUGACGAACUUCAGUCGGAGGUCAUUGCAUCUGUGGCAGGCGACGCACAAAUGUCAGUGGUUUUAACAAUCGGGUUUAUGCGACGGCUCGUGGUAUUCUGUUGUUUUAUAAUUUGCAAAGCACUGCGGUGUCGAGACUGUCUAUGGAUGAAUGGAAAGGAUCCCAACGAUUGUCGUCUACCAGUGACAACUAAUACCGUACAAUGCCCGUCAACUUCCAAAUACUGUGAGGAGUGGGCUAAAUUUACCGAUGACGACGAUCCAGCAAAUAUAGCCGGUGAAUUUGUGAGUAAUUUGAGCUCUAUAAAAUCAUUGAAGUAUAGACGUGAUGCGUUAUGUCGUCAAUCGGAGAUGCUCGGGUACCAGAAGGUCGGAGCUACCCACGUUCCCAGGCUGGGAUAUUGCGUCGGAGUAUGACCGUCUGUGGAAAAUUGCGGCGGACAACCAGCGAACAUCAAUCUGCAGGAUAAUGAACGAACAUCCUCUUGCGCCGAUUGAUGGUACGCACAUGAAUCGAGUGUGCAUUUGCCGUGAAGAUACGUGCAAUAGCCAUACGUGGAACGAUAUGGUUACCCUGCCCUUUGUACCGUAUAACUUUAAUGCCAGCUCGAAGCCAGUCUACCCAGCGCUCGGUUACAAUGACCUGCCGGUGAAUAUUGGGCAACCCGGUUAUGUGCCCGAGUUGUACCAGGGUCCCGCCACCUAUGCCGGCGACUUCUACGGAUGGCGACGCGGUAACCAUACCAACUCCGCCCCGCUAAAUACCGUGGAACCAGUUGACGCAUUUGCGAAACUUUUACCUUAUCUCGGAUUCUCCGCGAUUUUCCUUGUUUUGCAUCAGGAAUUUCAGCUCACUUUGGAUUAGUCUUAUCGCCGUCGAAAACGAGGUGGAUAUCAUUCUGUCAAUCUGCUGAAACAACGAAAAUGCAAAGUUUUAUGUGCAGGAAUACGUUCAAUCGACCUUAUGCUGUAAUAAGCUCUGCUACUUUUUCAUAACGGAAUUGCAUAAUAACAAAACUGUGUGCACUGUGCAGUGUGCACCUUGUACUGCCAAUCCAUUGGCAAUCAAAAAUUCAAAAUCCCCAGAGAUUAAUUUACUGAAUCAUAGAUUAAUGAAAAAUUAUUUAUAAAUUGCAACUUUGUAGCGAUCUCGUUAAGAAAGCCC